GGGCGCACAGAGCAGCUCCGGUGGCGUGCAGCCUCUCUCAUUUUCUAAAACGAUGUACAAGGUCGUUUUAUUUCCUUCCGUCUUUGCCACGUGACGCCUCACAUUUCUUGGGUCUCAGUUUUUAUUUGUCAGUAUUUUGUGGGCACUCUUGGUGAAACGAAGAAACACAGGACCAUCUUCCGUGGCACCAUGCUUUUAAAAGAAUUUUUUUAUUCCAACCUGCAAGAUGUCCAUUUCCGUCCUUAGUGCGGGCAACUUUAAACGCAUCGAUGCUAUCCCAUCAAGGUUCGGGAGGAGGAGGUGGGAAAGUUCAACUCUGUUGUUCACCGCAGCACACUUUCUAGAUUCUGCAUUAGAGACAGUCACUCCCCAUGAAAGAGGCGCUGAUGAAACACGUUAGAACGUGCUCACACAGCCUUCAGAGGGUCUGUAUAGAUGUCCACCGAUGUACCUUGACCACAUGUGUUUGCAAUUGAAAAUUAAAGUCGACACACUGCAGGAGGAAUAACGCGCGGCUCACCGUUAAGUAGGGAGUUGCGGUAGGUUCCGGGAGUAACUUUCAAAGAAUUAACAACCUUGUCCUCUGUUCCUAAGGUACUAAAGCCUUUUUUUAAAAACUUAAUGUUGAAAUCCAGCAUUCCUGGUGAAGGCAUUUGUGUUCAUCCAUUCUGUGGUUUUUGUAGGGCUCUUUCUCCCCCGCCACCCCCACUCCAGAAUCUUUUCACCAAGGUGUGUCUAGGCAAUGGCCCUUUUUCACUCCUGCUCCGACAUUUGAUGAGGUCUUAGUUCUGGGAUUUUUUUUCUAUCACCACUUUCCACAUCCUCCCUUUCUUCCUUGGAUCUGUGCAUUACGUUCUCAUGUUCACUUCAUAAUUUUCUUUUUCUUUAUGUUGACUGUCAGAUCAAAUGUUUGGCCCAAUCUAUCUGUAAACUAAUGAACUUUCUCUUUAUGGGUUUCCAUGCUGCUGUUUAGCCUGUGGAACUGAGCUUUGACUUUCCACAGUAUAAUUUACAAUUCACCAGCUCUCUCGUUGAUUCUGUCCCCCCAGUGAUGUGGUCUGCAGUGUCCACGCCACCUCCAUGAGGACUGUAAUAAUCUUGUUUAAACUAUCGUCCUCAUUGCCAUACUCGAUCUGUCCCCUUGUACGCCAUCCGUCAGCUACUGCUGUGAUGCUGCCGCAUCACCCAUGAAUCUGAAAAGCAAGCAGCGGUUACAAUCGUAAGCAUUUAUUUUUCCUGUUGGGAUGUCUGCAGACGCGGGUGGUUCUGCUUUAGAUGGCUCUUGGCCGAGCCGGGCUCCUGAAUUCGCUUGGAUUUGGGGCUACCCCACUUCCCAUUCUUCUUAGACCAACCACAACCUGAGGGCCUGUUCUCCUCCUGGUGGGUCUCACCGGGAUCCACGAGCCCUGUCGAGACAAGCACGUCUGAAGCCUUGACUCACUGCCACAUCGGCUAGCAGUGAUUUUUGUUUUUUAUGCUCGGCCCUGGAUUCGACCAUUCUAACUAGUGUUUCUGUGAGUGUCCUCCUUAAGCCCUGCCUUUUUGUGGAGGAGGCAGGACUUGGUGCCAGUACGGGCCUACCUGAGCCUUUCUCUGACGAUGGCAGAGCAGAUGCCAUCGAUGUGCUGCACUUGUCUCUCUGGCACACCCUGUCUGGCACAUGCUGCCUGCAUGUCGAACUGUCUGCCUAGGGCUUUCUCGGGCCCAGGGAGCUCCGAGCAGGCCUCAGAGGAUGGGAGCCAGGGGCCAGGGGGCUCACACGUGUCCAUCCAGUCACGGACCGGAAGUGGAAUCCAAGUGCUCCGGAGUCCUAGUCUCUCGGGGGGACCCCUGGGAGGGCGUCUUGCCUGGUCUGGCAGGCGUCUCCAGCAGGUCUGAGCCCCAGCUGCUCGCGGGCUGGUCUGCCCUUGACCCAGCCUGUGCUGACGUGCUUCCCCACCUCCUCCUCCUCCGCUCUCCCGUGGGCGCUUCCUUCCCUGCCUUCUGAUCCCACCUCCGCAGCGGCCUCUGAGGGACUCGGCUCAGGACACAGCCGGGACCCGAGGGAUGAAAGGUGACAUGCGGAUCACGGUCGUCUGAUGCUCUUCAGAACUGCCCGAAGGGGCAGCGACCCCGAGCUCAGCAAAAGGGAGCAAGCCGCCCCCCACGCGAGGAAUCCCGGUCACGUCGAAUGGCCGUGAACUUCCCGUGCUUUUCCUUUCCGACCGAAAAACUAGGACCGUGGCGUCUGCGGUGUGCAUCACACCUUGGAAGAGGCGCUGAAGCAAGCUGCUCAAGAUGUGAUGGUGGGUCCCCAGUUUCCUCACGGAAAGAGACCCCGAAGCGAGGCGCGUGUCCUCAGAGUGCCCGAGGCUGUCGGGCCCGGGUUCCGGGCCCGAGGAAGGUGGGACUGACGCAGUGGGCGUCGCAGCUGCCACGCCGUCCCCUGCCUCGCCUCCACCCCCGGCCUCCAAGAACAAGACGGCCACGCUCUUCGUCCGCGGGUUCAGCCGGGGCAUCAUUGUCCUUUGCCCGGCGCCAGCCGGCCUGGGAACGACGGUGGCCAGGGCGAGGGGGGCCAGAUUCCCGAAGGGGAGCGUUGUAGCUCAGGACACGUCCCUGGAGGCCACUAGGUAGAGACGCAGCCUAGACGGUCACGUCAGAGUGAGCCUGCUCGCUCGUUAGAACGGCGGAGAGGGAGACGCUGCCAGGAGGAGCUUCCUUUGAGCCAAGGCUUGCGCAGGAGGCUGUUUCAGAGAAGUGAGGAGGGUUCCAGGCCCAGGAGAGGGCGGUGAGCGUUGGCUGAGAACUGGCAUUUUCAGAAAGGGGCAGAGGAGAGAGAGAGAGAGAUGGACGGGCCUGGAGGAGCGUGUGAUCCCACUUUGCAGAACGAAACAAAACAACCUCGGGGAGGUCCGUUGUGGCUCAGUGGGUUAAGGACCCGAUGUUGUCUCUGUGAGGAGGCAGGUUUGAUCCCUGGCCUCACUCAGUGGGUUAGGGAUCCAGUGUUGCUGCAAGUGUGGCCUGGCCAUGGCUGUGGGGUAGGCCUGCAGCCACAGCUCCGAUUCAACCCCUGGCCCGGGGACUUCCAUAUGCCGCAGGUGCAGCUAUAAAAGAAAAAAAAGAAAAAAAAAAAAAAA
RNAcentral lists this long non-coding RNA (3119 nucleotides) under Sus scrofa (pig). Its description in RNAcentral is "lncRNA (ENSSSCG00025053902.1)". Lineage: Eukaryota; Metazoa; Chordata; Mammalia; Artiodactyla; Suidae. The record is from RNAcentral.